GCCCAGGUGGCGGAAUUGGCAGACGCGCCAGCUUGAGGUGCUGGUGGUGUAACAACCUUGGAGGUUCGAGUCCUCUCCUGGGCA
This 84-nucleotide transfer RNA is filed under the name bacterium. RNAcentral's name for it is "tRNA-Leu". It matches the Rfam family "tRNA". Rfam says of the family: Transfer RNA (tRNA) molecules are approximately 80 nucleotides in length. Their secondary structure includes four short double-helical elements and three loops (D, anti-codon, and T loops). RNAcentral also lists the same sequence under 5 other names. The record is from RNAcentral.